CAGAGUUAAAUAUCUACUGCGUGUUUAUUGUUAUUGAAUACCUUUAAACUUUUAAAAUGUAAACUUUAUAUGGUUUAGUACACACAAAACAUUUAGUGACGGACUUUAUAAUUACUUCCUUGUUCACUUCACAGAAAUGAAAGAAAGAAAAUGUUGGGAAUAGUUUUCCUACUGUGUCUGAAAUUCUACAUUUCUACUGCAGGUAGGUACUUUAUUAUAUCUGUAGAAUGCAAAGAAAAUGAAGAUUAUGAUUUUUUUAAUAGAUGUAAGAAGAUGUGGUGUGGGUGCCAAUGAGACAACUCUCCAUCCGAGUCACAAUUGAUAAAAGUAAACCAUUAAAGGUCAAGG
This 348-nucleotide long non-coding RNA is filed under the name Mytilus galloprovincialis (Mediterranean mussel). Lineage: Eukaryota; Metazoa; Mollusca; Bivalvia; Mytilida; Mytilidae. The record is from RNAcentral.